RNAcentral lists this ribosomal RNA (430 nucleotides) under Geocentrophora baltica. Its description in RNAcentral is "partial 16S ribosomal RNA". It matches the Rfam family "Bacterial large subunit ribosomal RNA", at positions 1827 to 2600 of the family's 2925-position model. The record is from RNAcentral. Lineage: Eukaryota; Metazoa; Platyhelminthes; Prorhynchida; Prorhynchidae.
UCAUUUUUAAUAAUUGUAAAAUGUAUUCCCUGCCCAAUGUAAAGUAAAUGGCCGCAGUAUAAAUGACUGUGUUAAGGUAGCAUAAUUACUUGUUAUUUUAUUAAUGACUUGUUUGAAAGGGUUAAUACGAGAAAUUUUGUUUUUGUGUUUUUUUUUGAAUCUUUGAUUCCGGUAAAAACACUGGAAAUUGUAAAUAAGACGAGAAGACCCCAUCAAGGUUUACAUUUUAUGUUGAAUGGGAAAUUUAAGGUUUUUAUAACUUUUUUUUGAACUAAAUUUAAGUAGAGAAAAAACUUACUGUGGGGAUAACAGGGUUAUUUUUUUUAGAGUUUUUAUCUAAAAAAAUGUUUGCUACCUCGAUGUUGAAUCAAAAUUUCUUUUUGGUAUAGAGGCUAAAAUAGUGUGUCUGUUCGACAUUAAAAAUUUUACG